GGGCGUGGCUUGGAGCGGAUAUGAAGACUGUGGGAACCUCCGGCCUCUCUUUCUCGGUUUCCUGGCUGCCCCUAGGCUGUGGGCCGCCUCCUCUGGCGCAUAUUCCCACGGAAGCAGACUGUGCCACCCCGAGGGCCCUGAGCCAGUGCAAGCCUCUCCUGCUUUCAGUUACGAGCCCAGGUGUCAGGAGAAUGCUAAACUAUAAGGAAGAAUGAGAAAAAGACAUGGAAACUGAGUCAGAUAUUGAAGCAAAUUAAAAGAAGUCACUCCACAGAGCUCUACUGUAAAAUAGAUCGGAGAUAAAGGUCUGUGAGCUGAACUGAUACGGAUUUGUACUUACGGAUUCAUCCACUGCUUUGGUGCAGUUUGGGUGGCUAUCACAAAAGCCUGUCUUUCCCAGAUGGACUCAGGCUGACAGGCAGAGUGGAGGGACCCGUCCAAGGUUGCACAGCUUCCAAAAGAAGCCUGGAGUGAAUCCAAGGUGUAUCCAGGAUCUGGAGAUUUCUUGGUCUUUGGGUUUCACUUCUGAGUACGGGCUGAGCAGUUCUUACUACAGUGGACCCUUGGCUUGUGAACUCAAUUGGUUCCCGAAGGCUGGUUGUAACUCAAGUUGAUUGUGGACAAUUUGGUGCAUGAAGAACAUUCAUAUCUGUGCAGCAGCCAUCACCACCACCAUUUCCAGAACUUUCUCAACACCCUAACUGAAAUUCUACCUGUUUGACACUUAUCACAUAACCACCGUCCAGAGGUAUUCAGACUACUUGGUCAUUUUUUAAAUUGCAGUACAUGUUUUUCAAAAUUGAGAUCGUAUGUACUCUGGGAAUUAACUCUGUCAGAUGCCAUGAGGCAAAAAAGUUUUCCUCCAACAUGCUCUUCUGCUGCCAUGAUGUAUUGUGCUGCCAUUGGUCCAAAGCAACAGGACCAAGUGAUUGUG
RNAcentral lists this long non-coding RNA (934 nucleotides) under Heterocephalus glaber (naked mole-rat). RNAcentral's name for it is "lncRNA (ENSHGLG00000047187.1)". Lineage: Eukaryota; Metazoa; Chordata; Mammalia; Rodentia; Bathyergidae. The record is from RNAcentral.